AUUGUUCAAGGAGACAAAAAUAGUGUUCAACUACUUGCUUCUUCAUUCUUUCAGGGCUUUGAUGGAAUUCCAGGGACACCUGGUCCACGAGGGCCAAAGGUAGGAAAAUGAUAAGACUUCUACAUUAAAAGAAAUUGACAAUGUAUGGCAGCAGAAAUAUGUUCUCCUUGAGGUAUACAUUAGUGGAAAUCUGUCAUUUCACAGGGUGAAAGAGGACUGCCAGGUGUUCAUGGACUCCCUGGUGACAUCGGACCUCCAGGAAUGGGAAUUCCUGGCCAACCAGGAUCCAGAGGACCCUCUGGAGAGCCAGGUAUUCAGGUAGAAUCUUUACUAAGUCAUUUGGUUAAGUGAAUAUAGUAUGCUUCAUAGACAGUAAUUGUCAGAAGACUCCUGUCAUAAGUAAUCAUGAUUUCUCUGUCUUUUCAGGGUCCUAGAGGCCUCCCUGGGUUACCAGGAACUCCAGGGACCGAUGUGAGUAACAGGUUUACAUUCUAAUAUUUUACAUUAAUCCUAUCUUCAUUUGAGGAAUUUAAAAGAUGAUGUUCUCUUUU
RNAcentral lists this long non-coding RNA (551 nucleotides) under Phascolarctos cinereus (koala). Its description in RNAcentral is "lncRNA (ENSPCIG00000036946.1)". The record is from RNAcentral. Lineage: Eukaryota; Metazoa; Chordata; Mammalia; Diprotodontia; Phascolarctidae.